UAGCAAAUGUAAAAGUGCUUUAUGCUUUAUUCCUCAGUUUCUUGUGACUUUUUAAAAUUUCUUAACUUUUCUUGAAAUAUAUUUAAACUUACAAGAAAGCUGCAAAAAUAAUACCAAGAGAAGUUGACCACCGGCCUGACAGCAUGGGGAGCUCUGCUGACGCACUUCCCAGUGAAACUGAUGAAAAUUGUUUUAAGACAAGAAAACAAUAACAAUUUAAAGCCUAAGGAAUUAGUCCUAAGAGAAAAGAGCAAAUAAAGAAGUAUCUAUUCUAGGAAAAAAUGGUAAGAAAUGCAGGAAUCUGUGGUGUUUCAACAAAGAUCUCUUCUUCCUGUGCCUUCCUAGUUCUGCAAAGCAGAGACCCCACUCUGCCUUGAAACAGGAAACACUCGGCCUCCUCUCCCCAGGCUCCCAGAGGGAGGGGCAGAUGUCACCAGUUCUCACUCUGCCUGUUAUUACCUGAUACUGAGGCUAAGUCCUGGGUGAAGUGGCUGACAGAUGGAGGAUUCUUUCUUUCAAACAGCUCCCCUCAUGGAACAGAGGCUCUUCCUUGGGCUGUUUUGAUGUCCAUCUGAUUUCCUCCAUGGACUGUUGGAGUUCUGUCUAUCUGUUGUCUGCUUUGAUGAAGCACUGAAGAAAUGUGUUGAGGACAGAGUGUGACAGAGAGACAGUCAAGGUCAGAGGAGAGAAAAAUCAUGGGAGCCCAAAGGCUGCCAGCUGGCUCAGCCAUGUCCCAGGCCUGGAGGAAGAUGCUGGCACAGGUGGAGGCUGAGCCCAGGGAUAGAUGUGUCAUUUCUGUGUCGUCCUGCUGCUGUUCCUUACUCGCCAUCAGCUACCUUCCAUCAGCUACUGUUGCUUCACAGUGAGGAACAUUUUCCCAACACGAAAUCCCUGGUACACAAGAGAUGCUCACUAAAUAUUAAAGUGAAUGAACAGAAUUGGAAGAAAAGGAGCUGAGAAAACUACCUCCUUUCUAGUUGUAACUCCAUGAAGCUACUUGUCUUGGACCUUGGAGGAAGACUGGGUAAGCAUGCCACAUUAUUUGCAUGUGGGGUUCUGUUCCUUGUAAUUUUGACAAAACAAAACAAUGACCAAUGUAUUAAAUGAGAAAUACAAUUGUAUUGUAUGCAAUGGCCAUAGAGUAAUUGGUAGCUUUGGUCUUGACCUCUAGUGGUUAGUACUCUUAUCACCAACUCAUCAGCGAGUAGGGGAAGCUUACAUAGCAUGUUUCAGAAGGUAUAGGCCUUGCCAUGGGAUUGGAGAAGUGCCUUCCAAUCCUGGACUAUGUGCCCAGGUCACCAUCACAGGCCUUUUGUAAUGAUGUCAGUUUUCUGAUAAGCGAUUGGAACCCAUCAAGCCUCUUAGACAUUGGAAAAUACGUGAGCCUCCCCAGUCCUUUAUUCUCACUAACCCUUUGUAGAUUCAUAGAUGAGAUGUUAGUCUGUGACAGAUAAUCUCUAUUACCUCACUUGUAUAUUUAGGUCUCUAAUUAUGGAUUCAUUCAUUCAACAGAUACUGCCUAAACACCAGUACACAGGUACAGUCCCUGACUUCAAGGAGGCUGUGGUUUAAUGAGGGGGUCAGACAAGUAAAUGAAUAAUUACAAUGCGUUAUGACAAGUGCAAUAAUAGAAAUAUAUUUAGGGUUUAAGGCUGUAAAAAAAUUUCUUUCAUUUACUUAUAAAUACAGAAAUUGAUUUAUUAGAAUUGCUGAUAAACCAAGACCAAAUAUAAGGAAGUAUUUAUAGGCCAUAAAUUAAGAAAUUAAUACCUUGAGUUUAAUCCCUGUAUUGUUGAAUAUAGGAAUUGUGACAUGUUUCCUUGCUGGAACUUAUUUAGCAUCUACAGAUAUAGUUUUAGUUUUUAAUUGUAUUUCACUGGAAAGUUUGGUGUAAAUGUAAGGUCUAAUUUUAAGUCUUUAUAUCUGUACUAAACCCUCAUGCUCUUGGACUGUGUUACUAUCACAUGGGAUUCCCAGGUGCAGGUGGUACCGCUGCAUGUGAACCUGAUUCUUCCUCGCUAAGAUGAUUCCAUCUGUGCUGAUACAAGGACUCUUUAUUUUUAGGACAGUAAUUGCUAUGGUUACCGUGAACCACAAUUUGGCCUUCAGUACUAUGUCCCUGAACAGUUAGUAUUCCCCACAGAAAUUUUGUAGCAAGAGAAUAAAUGAAAUAAAAUAUAUCAGAAAUAGCACAAGAAGAGCUAUAAUCACAAAAUGUUCACAUAAUUGUGUAAUUCAUUUAAAUAUAUAAUGCAAAGGGUUUUUUUUGAAAUCUCUUUUUUCUUCUACAAUAAGAUAAAAAUGUCUGACAAAUGUAUACAAAAUAAGUACAUUUAGAAAGAUGUUUGAUUAAUCACCAAAUUAACUGGAAAAUAUAAGUAAAAUGCUGUUAUUAUUUCCAAAUUCAGCUUGGGUACUGAGUAGUUAAAAUUAAAGCAGGUGGAAUAUUUGCAGGGGGUACUAAAUGCUUUAUUUAUAAUGAGAUUUACUUAAUAAUUUACAUAUACUAUACCUGGUAAAAAUCUAAAAGCAAUAUAUUUCUUUUUAGCCAUAAUUUGCUUUGCAGAACACUGUUUGGAACAGUAUUAAGAAUUAUUCUUUCAGUUUUAAAACACAAAAUGAAAAUAUAUGACUUUUCCAAAUGACACAAAACCUUCUGAUUUAUGUCUUAAGUAUAUGUAAUGUUCUUAUUUUGUAAUAGAUUUCCAGAAACUUAAGUCUUUAGCAACAACCAAAAUUCUUUCCACUUAGUUUUGCAACUUGGGGCCACAUUUCAAAAGAGCUUUUUUUUUUUCUUUUUGCAUGUGUGAUUCAACAGAAAAAUAUAUGGACCUUGAGACAAGGAAUUUUGUCUUUUUUUUUUUUAACAACUAAAGCCGUGUUUUAAGCGGUUUGUGUGUAUGAAAGGUAAUUCAAUUUAAUUCAUUAUAUGGCAUUUAACAAUUUAAUCUUCGUAUGAGUUAGCAUUUUGAAUAGCUUAUUAUAUGUUUAAUAUUUAUACUAUAUGAUAAAUAUUAUACUGUAUAAUAUAAAUAUGAUAUAUAUGUUAUAUAUAACAUAAUAUGUAAAAUUAAAGUAAAACUCUUUACAGCAGAUCCUUUCUGAUAGAAUCAUUGGCAGGCAAUGCAAUUUCCAUUGGGUGGUCUAGUUUCAAAGUUCCUGAACUGAUUUUCUGACCCAAAACAAAAAUAAAAACAAAAGCAAAAAAGAAAAACCCCAUUUCCCUCUGCAAACUGGUAUUGAGGUAAAUCCGGACUCCACUCUCAAAUAUAGCUGUUUAAUUUGAAUACCUUGAAACUAUAGAGAUUCUGAAGACCCAUGAGGAUUAUAUCACAUUUUGAAACUCAUGUUGCCAAUUGAGAGAGAGGCCAUCAUGAAAUAACUAAUUUUCGUUGCUAACCUACCUGAGUUUUAUAUAGUAAACUAUAAAUUAAAAAAAAAACACUCAAAAUCUGAUGAGUCCUUUGAAUGCUAUUUUUUUAAUAGCAGCUGAAUUCUGAGAAUUACAUUAAAUACCAAUCCUUGUCUUAACACUUUAUAUGUAAUAUGUAAAUAUUAUCUUUGUAUGUUAAGAAUACACAGAUACAGGAAUUAAGGGUAAUACAAAGAUUAAACUUUUUUUUUUUAUAGUGAAGGUACUGGGAAUUGAACCCAGGACAUUGUGCAUGCUAAGCAUGCACUGUUACACUGAACAAUACCCUCUCCUCAAAGAUUAAACAUAUUUUUUAAUGUUUCGCUAAUCAUGAUACAUACUGUCAUUAGUAUAUCAGAUUAAUACUCUUAGGGCAAGGGCCAUUGUACUGAUAGUGGGUUCAAGUACAUAUUUUGAUUUUCUUUUUUUUGGUUGACUUUUCGUGAUUAGACCAUUGUAUUUAUAUGGUAAUGUUGCUGACAAAGAGUUCAUAACUGUUAUUUUCUUCUUGUUUGCUUGCUCCUACGUAUCAGUAUUGGCUUCAGUCAGCAGUCUUUUUGUAAAAAUCUUUUCAAGGCGUUUAUCUACUGCGUGAAGGUGAAUUUAGUUAAAACUAGUAGAUAAUGAAUUCUAGGAACCGAGCAAAUAUAAAGUACAACCUGGAGCAGUUUGCUGAAAAGCUCCUUUGUUCUUCCCUUUGGAGGGUAGAACUCCCACUUCCCUCUCAGCAUACCUUAGUUACCAAAAAUUCUACAUGAUCACUUGGUAUCCACCAAAUAAGGGAAAACUCCACUGUUUAUCUAUACAUUAAACAUUAGCAAUAUUGAAUUCAUUUUUAUUAAAUACAAGUUUAAACAUUUUCUCUUCUCACACCAAUGCAUGGUCUUGCACAUCCCCUGAGUUGUGUGUAUUCCAUUUGGGGGACUGCCAUGUCAGAAAAUGAGUCUAUUUUCUGAUUUUUUUUCUAUUCACCUGGGUUUUUUAAAAGGAAAAUGGCAAACGUAAUCAGUAAUAGAGAAGAAAAAGAGAAGAAUGAAGGAUAAGACUCAAUUUAUUUCUACUGGAAUAGUUCUAUCUAAUCUCUAACCAAGCAGACCUUGCCAACGUCCCUCCCUCCAAAGUUAAACAAAUUUAUGUUAAUAUGUGGACUGUGUUAAAACCCAAUAUAAUGUAUCUUCCUUUCCACAGUAUCAUUAAGGUCUCUGUUUGAUUGAAGCAGCAAGUGGAUGACUGUAAAUACAACCUAUUGUAUAAGUUCUUCUUGUCUCUGCUGCUUCCAUCAUGUCCAUAUCCUGCAACCUCUUCUUUUCCUUUUUUUAUUUUCUUCUGUUUCUUCCAUCAUAUUAACUGUCCACAUGGGUAAAUUCCUAUUCUUUCCAUAUUUGUCUUUGUACACAUUUUCCAAGCCAACUUGUCCCCCCAAAAUCCUCAUGUUACUUAAAAAAAGUCUGAAUCUGUUUCAACAGGUGUAUCAAAACAAGAGUUCUCUUCAAAGUACAAGUAUACAGUAAAAUGACUGCAUUCAUUAUUUUCUUUUUCACAAAAUAUUACAUGCCAUACUUUAGAUUUUUAAAAAUCCCUACUGUUUUCUUCAAGCAUAGUUAGAAAGUAGCUCUGAGAAAAAAAUCCAAAAGGAUAAUUUUAUGGCAUUUAACUACUUACCAGAUACAACAUGAUAGGUAAUGUAAUAUAGUGGUUACCAUGGGCUGUGUAGUCUGAUCUGGAUUCAAAAUCUAACUCUAGAACUUACUAGCUACACCACCUUAGGUUUUAUUACUUUACUAUGGACUUGGCCAACAUACAAAUUGGGGCUAAUAAUACUUUUAAUAAUCAUCUACAUUGCUUAAUUAUGAGGCCAGUAGACACAUAAUUAGCAUUUCUGAAUGUACUUUGAUCAUACGUUUUAAGAAGUAUCACAUUUAAUUUGUCCUAGUCCAAGUAAUUGCAACAGUUGAAAUGACAGUGGUUUGUAUGCUUUGCAGCUCCUAAGGAAUUCAGGCAAUAAUUUUCAAAUUAAGAUACAAAUAAAGCUUUACUUUUUGUGAUUUCAAUUCUCUUUUAUUGUUUUAUGGCCCAGAAUGUAGUCUGUUGUGGUAAAUAUUCCCUGUGUCCUUGAAAAGAAUGUUCUACUAUUCUGGAGUGGAGCAGUCUAUAAAUAUUAUAUCAAGAUAGUAGAUAGUGUUGUCCAAGUCUUCUAAAGCCUUACUAAUCUUCUACUUGUUAAAUCAAUUACUGAGAAAGGAAUGUUGAGAUUUCCCACUAUAAUUGCAGAUUUAUUAUUUCUUUUAGUUCUAUUUGUUUUGCUUUAUAUAUUUUGAAGUUCUGUGCAUAAACUUUUUUAUUUUCUUAAUGAAUCAACCCCUUUAUUAUCAUAAAAUAUCCCUCAUUAUAAUAUUCUUUAUUAUAAAAUCUUUUUUUUCUGAUAUUCCUUGCAACUGAAUUAAUUAGUGUUUGCACAGCAUAAUCUAUUUCCUUUCUUUUACAUUUAUCCUGUGUCUUUCUUUAAGGGGGCGGUAAUUUGGUUUAUUUAUUUUUAGAGGCAGUACUGGGGAUUGAAUGCAGGAAUUUAUGCACACUAAAUAUGCACUCUAACAGUGAGUUAUACCCUACCCUGCUACCUUGUGUCUUUAAAGUGUCUCCUUGUAAACAGCAUAUAGUUGGGUAUUGCUGUUUUGCCCAGGCUGACAAUCUGUCUUGUAAUUAAAUUUUAGACCACUUACACCUGAUGUAAUUAUUGAUAUGAUUAAGUUUAAAUCUACCAUUUUGCUAUUUCUUUUUGUCCCAUUGCUCUUUGUUCCAUUAAACUUUCCUUAUCUUCUUUUGCAUAUCCUUUCUUAUGAUUCUAUUUUGCCACAUUCCAUUUACCCCAACAGCUUAUUAAGAAUUCCUAUCUCAUUUAUUUAGUGACUUCCCAAGUUUGUAUUUAUAAAUAAGGAAUCUAAAGAAAAAAAAAUCACCCUGGAGUUUUAUAUUAGCUUUGUUAUUCAAAUAAAUAAAAUAUUACCCCUCUUCAACAAGCUGAAAUUUAAGUCUCAACUUAAGAGAUUUAAUUAAAAUUUAGAAAUUCAAUGAUGUGGGGAGAAUGUCUAAUUUAUUGUUAGGAAAUACAGGAAAAAAUUUCAAACGUUUCACUCUGUGAGAACAAUGAGGAUUAAGGCAAGAGUAGAAAAUACCACAAUUAACAAAAAUUAACAUGAUACAUGCAUAUGCUGUGUAUCAUAAAUUAGGCAACCAAGUAUUUUAUAGUAUAAUUGAGGUCUCUCUAAACUACCUGUAAAAGUAGCAAGGCCAACUCCCAUUUAAAAACACCUUUGUUCAUACCAGCAUUAUUCACGAUAGCUAAAAUGUGGAAGCAACGGAAGUGUUCAUUGAUGAAUGAAUGGACAAUCAAAAUAUACAUACAAUGGAAUAUUAUUCAGCCUUAAAAAGAAAGGAAGCUCUGACACAUGCUACAAGAUGGAUAAACCUUAAGGACAUUUUGCUAAAUGAAAUAAGCCAGUCAGAAAAAGACAAAUUCUAUAUGAUUUUACUUAUAUGAGGUACUUAGUCAAAAUCAUAGAGACAGAAAGUAGAAUGAUGGUUGCAAGAGGCUAGGGGGAGGAGAGAAUAGGAAUUAUUAAUUAAUGGGUACAGACUUUCAGUUUUAAAAGAUGAAAAGAGUUAUGGAGAUGGAUGGUGGUAAUGGUAGUACAACAUUAUGAAUGUAUUUAUUAUCACUGUUCACUUAAAAACAAGAUGAUAAAAAUGUAUCAUAAUUUUUAAAAUUAAAAAAAUCCUAUCAGAACAUAUCCAUUUGUUCAAAUAUAUGCUGGCUGUCUG
This is a non-coding RNA of Vicugna pacos (alpaca), 7231 nucleotides long. Lineage: Eukaryota; Metazoa; Chordata; Mammalia; Artiodactyla; Camelidae. The record is from RefSeq and is a predicted model, not a curated record.